GUGGAAACGGAUAAACCAGCAAAAUUGGUAGAUAACACAUUUCAUCACCUCCAAAGGUUUUGCUCCUUCACUCAAACAAUGGCUGCUUCCCCCUCGUCCUUCUCUUUCUUUUCUUCCUCCAUUUUCCUCUCUAACCCCAACAUCCAAUCCUCAAAGCACCUCCUUUUCAGAUCCCCCAAACAACUCUCUGUCGCUGCCAUUGCCACCAUCCGUUCAGAGGUCGCCACUAUUCCAAUUCUGUCCUUCGAUGGUGCCGAGGUGGGCUCCACCACUCUCAAUCUAAAAUCUGCCCCUCUAGAUACCGCACGCGCCGUCGUCCAUCGUGGGCUCACCACCGACCUCCGCAACCAACGCCGCGGCACUGCCUCCACUCUCACACGCUCAGAAGUCCGGGGCGGUGGUAUCAAACCUUACCCUCAAAAGAAAACGGGCCGAGCUCGCCGCGGUUCAAAUCGAACUCCUUUGCGGCCCGGUGGUGGGGUUGUGUUUGGACCGAAGCCAAAGGACUGGUCAGUUAAAAUCAACAAAAAGGAAAAGAGACUGGCCAUUUCUACGGCGCUUUCAAGUGCUUCGGAGAAUACUAUCGUUGUAGAAGAGUUUAAUGAUAAAUUUGAAAAGCCAAAGACUAAGGAAUUUAUUGAAUUGAUGAGGAGGUCGGGGUUUGGACCCUAAAGAGAAAUCUUUUUUGAUGACGGAGGUUUCAGACAAUGUGAUUCUGUCCAGCAGAAACAUUGGGACUUUGAAAAUGUUGACUCCAAGAAGGUUGAAUCUGUUUGACAUAUUGGAUUCUGAGAAGCUGGUUUUAACUAAAUCGGCUGUGGAUUUCUUGAAUGAGCGGUAUGGCGAUGAAAAUGAAUGGGAGGAUGAGGAAGGAGACGACCAAGAUGGUUAG
RNA transcript from Nicotiana attenuata, 892 nucleotides. It is a transcript of the gene named 50S ribosomal protein L4, chloroplastic-like, with no coding region annotated. The transcript has a single exon. Lineage: Eukaryota; Viridiplantae; Streptophyta; Magnoliopsida; Solanales; Solanaceae. The record is from RefSeq and is a predicted model, not a curated record.